UACAGUGGUCCCGAGCGUUAUCCGGAUUCACUGGGUUUAAAGGGUGCGUAGGAGGGCAGGUAAGUCAGUGGUGAAAUCUCCAAGCUUAACUUGGAAACUGCCGUUGAUACUAUCUGUCUUGAAUAUUGUGGAGGUGAGCGGAAUAUGUCAUGUAGCGGUGAAAUGCUUAGAUAUGACAUAGAACACCAAUUGCGAAGGCAGCUCGCUACACAUAUAUUGACUCUGAGGCACGAAAGCGUGGGGAUCAAACAGG
Molecule: ribosomal RNA, 253 nt
Filed under: uncultured prokaryote
Description: partial 16S ribosomal RNA
Rfam family: Bacterial small subunit ribosomal RNA
Source: RNAcentral